Helianthus annuus (common sunflower) is the source of this 2791-nucleotide long non-coding RNA. RefSeq lists it as uncharacterized. The record is from RefSeq and is a predicted model, not a curated record. Lineage: Eukaryota; Viridiplantae; Streptophyta; Magnoliopsida; Asterales; Asteraceae. The transcript is spliced from 10 exons.
AGGGUUUCAGAUGUCUAUCUCAUUCCUAUCCGCCUCUCUCUCUCUCUCUCUCUCUCUCUCUCUCUCGGCGAUUCAGAAACCCCAAGCUAUCUUCACCAGAUCUGUUUGAGAAUUUGCUUUCUUCGGCUGCUAUUGAUGGUGGUUGUCUGGUUAAGUUGUUGAUUGUGCAACUGCCCUGCUUUCUCUCUCAAAUGAGAUCUAGGGUUUCUACAUGUGAUUCAAGAUCUGGCUAUCGCAGCUUUCUCUCUCAAACGAGAUCUAGGGUUUCUACAUACGCUUCAAGAUCUGGCUUUCACAGUUCGUUCGACACAUUUCAAAUUGAGAUCCCUUUUUCCAUUUUCGUUCUCUCUCCCCCUCAAAGAUCUGGAUUUGGAUCUGUGGAUCCAAAAGGAAAAAUAAUCAGAGAUGUUCUUUUACCCCAAAAAUCACUGUGCACUUUUAUAUACAUACAUCUGGUGAGAACCAAACCUUGCAAGACCCAAAAUUUCAUCCAGUUGAUGUUUGUAUCUGCUUUAAACUUGCAGAUCUAGGGUUUUACUUUCAUGUCUGAGGUAAACUCUACUUUGAAUCAACAGAUCUAGGGUUUUAUACCUCAUGUUUGAAGGUUUUAUUCUUGGAAGGAUCUUAAGGACCACAUGCGUAAGGCUGGAGAUGCAUGUUUUGCUGAAGUUUCUUGGAUAAUCCCGUCACCGAUACACAGCCAACAGAUCAGCAUCAGCGGCUUUCCUUAUGCUUUGACAAACUAAUGGGUGAUGUCUCCAGAAGCUUGAAAUCAAGGUUCAUUUAUCAGCUCCCAGCUGUUCGUUUAACGGAUGAACAAGAUGGUCGAUUGAGAGGGUUUUGGUGAGUCACACAGGUUCAUUUUAAAGCAUUUGCCCCUCACAUAUGUAGGAAAGAGAAGUAAAACCAUUCAUUGAAGAUCCACGUUCGUUUGUUUGUACAUUCACAGAAGGGAACACAAGAACAGUCCCAGCUGGACAAACAUCGAAAACAGGUUCAAAGAUUGGCAAACCAAAUGGUCAUGCAUCAAGGCACGGAAGCAGAUAUGUAUCUUCGAGAGUGGUUUCAGUGAAGGGCUCAAAACCAGAGCUGAUCAUGUCUGUUCAAGAUAUCAACAUCCAGUCACAAUCUUUAAUUAAUGUCAGGGACUCUAACAAGGUAUCGUUCUAAGUUGUAAAUGAUGUGGUGGUCAUCUUGUUGGAUAUUUGCUGGACAAUAAUGGCUCCGAGGCGCGAGAAAUGAAUAAAAGAAAGGAGGGUAUUCCAGGUGAAGCAAGAGCUGCUGCUUUAUUAAGGCGUUCUGUUAGAGAGAAUGGUUCUGACCUUGCCGAGCAAAGUGGAGAAGUAUCACGAUCCAUAUCUGGACCAGGUUUGAUUACAUAUGGCUCUCCUGAGCAGGUUUGAUUUAUAUUUUUUUUAGACUGAAAGGGUCGGUUGCAGAUGUGAUAGGGCUAAGAGUCGAGGCUUUGUGCUCCUCUACUUUGAACGGCUAAACCCUUACAAUGUUUUGACUUUGGUGAAAAAGAACAACUGGACACACAUUUCUGAAUCUUCUUCAGUGGCUAAAAUGGUGAAAGAGUGCAGGCUGCAUAUAGAUGGUCCUCUCUCUCUCUGAUUUCAUAAAAUGGUGAAAGAGUGCAACAGAGUCAUUUCACUUUUAUAUAGCCUGCUCAUUUCAACAGUAACACACUUUAUAGCCACAUUAACACACUUUAUAGCCUGCUCUUCCCUUUUCUUUUAAAAACCAGUCAAACAAAUAACCCUCAAACAAACCAUUUUAACCCUUCAGGUGUCAUGCAUUUACACAUUAAACCCUUACUCUCUCUCACUUCCCUUAUAAGAAGCACCUCCCCACAUUAACUCACUUUUACUCUUCCUCCACCUCCAUAAUUUGAGUCGAAACUCCCACUACACACACACACACACAAGUUCAAGCUGAAGCAAGUUAAGGUAGCUUGAACCUGUUUGAAACUGAAGCAAGUUAAGCUACAAGAUCAAGUUCCAAGUCCAAGUUCAGGCUCUUUAUUUUCUCUCAAAUCCUUCUCCUUGCUUGCUAAGGUGUCGGGGGAAAACUUAUUUACCAAAACUAGAUGGCAAUCGUCUUUUGCAAGAAUCAUAAAUCUAUAUAUUCCGAAUGCGGGGCGGAUUAUCAGUCAAGUAUGUUUGAUAUGUUAACCAAAAAAUGUAUUUUUUUCCCUAAUUAAUUAAACUUAUUUCGCACGAUUUUAUUAGUUUAUCUCGCUAAAAUAUGCAUCAUUAUUAGGGGUUUAAAAAUGAGCAGGAGUCACAUGACUUCACUUGGAGAUGUUUUAAAAAUUGGAUUUAAAGAUUCAAGUAUAAGUAUAAGGUUAAAAAUGAAAGUACCAUAUUUUGACAUUUUCUAAUAAAACAAAGGCGCCCCUUAGCAUUUCUCGAAAAAGAAACAUUCCAAAAGUAUAUUAUUACUUUUUCUACGUCAAAUCUUCCAAAAUAUCUAUCAAUGUUUUUCAUAUUUAUUCAGUUUCUUAUAAAACUAUAUUAGUCUUUUGGGAAGUAUAAAACAAGUUAAUUUGAUUUAAUUUUUUUGACUUUCUAUCUUCUAUUUUUAACAUAUAUUGUAUUUAAACAACCAAGACCAACCCUCAUUCAUAAAAUAACACUUACAAAAUAGGAGACUACCACCCCACCCAGAACACAACCAGACUUGGGGGAAUCAAAAGAAGACUACCCCACCCAAUGAAACACCCAAAAAGGAAAUACAAGACCAAUUCAAAUAACUCAUGUCAAACCACAGAAAUAAAAUGCAAGACCAA